CAAAAAAAUAAUAGAAACGACACAUAAAAAAAACACAGGUAAAACAGGUAAAAACAUUCCAGUUUUAAUUCCGGCUUUGUUCCGGUCACGUGAUUGUGUUUCGACGCACUGGAACCCUGCAGGUGACGUGGAAUAUGGGGACAAAAACGAUAAAUCCCUGCGGUAUCGUAAAAUCUCUAGCUACUGUCGAAUCGGCUAUUGGUUUUUUAAGUCUCAGUUAGUAAAAAGGCACUACUAAAUACAAUCCAGGCUGACGAAACAAUUGUUUUUGUGCCUGCUUGCUCGAAGCAAGCUUGAUUGUUCGAGUUGCCAGAUGGAGUCAGGAUUACCUUGCAGCCAGAUAGUAUUCUUAUGAGAACUCCCUAGGAAUCCUGUAAUCUCCAGUCAUGGCUAGUCCACAUGAAUUAACGUUUCAGGAGUUUGAGGAAGCCGCCGAUCUGCUGUCUUCAAAUCCUGGAGCCUCAACCCUCAGCAUCUCCAGCCCCGGCGCAGCAGCCGCCUCAGAUGUCAGAGUUGAUCUGUCAGAAGAUGAAGACAAUCAGCAAGAGAGUUCAGAGGUGAGCUGCAAAACCAAACAGGCAAAUAAGGUCACAAGUAGCUGCUUAUUUCUUGUG
This 614-nucleotide long non-coding RNA is filed under the name Sinocyclocheilus grahami. Its description in RNAcentral is "lncRNA (ENSSGRG00000005481.1)". The record is from RNAcentral. Lineage: Eukaryota; Metazoa; Chordata; Actinopteri; Cypriniformes; Cyprinidae.